UACGGAAGGCAGCAGUGGGGAAUAUUGCACAGUGGGCGCAAGCCUGAUGCAGCCAUGCCGCGUGUAUGAAGAAGGCCUUCGGGUUGUAAAGUACUUUCAGUCGUGAGGAAGGUGUUAAGGUUAAUAACCUUAGCAAUUGACGUUAGCGACAGAAGAAGCACCGGCUAACUCCGUGCCAGCAGCCGCGGUAAUACGGAGGGUGCGAGCGUUAAUCGGAAUUACUGGGCGUAAAGGGCACGCAGGCGGUUAAUUAAGUUGGAUGUGAAAUCCCCGGGCUUAACCUGGGAAUGGCAUUCAAGACUGGUUAGCUAGAGUCUUGUAGAGGGGGUAGAAUUCCAUGUGUAGCGGUGAAAUGCGUAGAGAUGUGGAGGAAUACCGGUGGCGAAGGCGGCCCCUGGACAAAGACUGACGCUCAUGUGCGAAAGCGUGGGGAGCAAACAGGAUUAGAUA
Molecule: ribosomal RNA, 450 nt
Filed under: uncultured bacterium
Lineage: Bacteria
Description: bacterial SSU rRNA
Rfam family: Bacterial small subunit ribosomal RNA
Source: RNAcentral